Molecule: long non-coding RNA, 823 nt
Organism: Quercus robur (English oak)
Lineage: Eukaryota; Viridiplantae; Streptophyta; Magnoliopsida; Fagales; Fagaceae
Exons: 4
Source: RefSeq, a predicted model, not a curated record
AAAAAACAGAGAGAACCCAUAAUCUGUGAAACGUAGAAAGAGAGAAGUUAAUAUGAGGAUCGUUCACCAUCAGACAAAAAGAGGCAGAAAAAACGAAAUUGAGAGAGUAAUCUUCGGAGUGUCAGACACUCAGACUAUCAUCCACCGGCAAGCCAGUCGCUCACCAACAUCAGGUCGCCUAAACCGCUACCGAUUCUUACAGAAUUAGUCAAAGCUAAGAUCAAAAGAGAGCAAUCCAAAAAUCCUAACGCAAUCUCUGAACCAACGCCUCUUCAAUCUCAAUACCGUCCAAGCCUCUCUUCCCCGCAGUCCGUUGAAGGCGAGAGUGACAGCGGCACUGCUGAUUUUCUCUAAUUUGUAUUUGCUCGCCUUAUAUUAAGAAAAAUAACUAAUACUAAGAGUGAAAGUCAGUAGGUAAAGAGAGAUCAAGCGAAGCAAGUCUGUAAGGCAGAGAGCAUUUGUUCCUCCACCGUCAGACUACUGUUGGUAGAAGAAGUGAUAGUGAUACCCAAAAUUGGCCAUGAAAAGGAUUAUACAAGUCAAAGAUUCAAUAGUUUUGCAGAGGUUACCCCAAACCAAUGCAGUUCAAUUAGGAGCAUCGUGAGGUAAUUCUUGAUAAGUUUAUAUGGUGUACACAAUGCCUCAAUCCAUGUAAAACCUAAUGAUGUGGAGGUUGUUAAUGUUUGUUAGCUUAUAACUAAGUGGCACAAGACUUUCCACUAUAUGUGAUUUAGUCGGUUAUCAUCAUUAUGAUAUCUAUCCCUCUAAUGCUGUAGUGUACGAUAUUUACAUACAAGAGUUAUUUGAUAAUUGAUAUUCGAUA